Molecule: ribosomal RNA, 484 nt
Filed under: uncultured bacterium
Lineage: Bacteria
Description: partial 16S ribosomal RNA
Rfam family: Bacterial small subunit ribosomal RNA
Source: RNAcentral
AUUGAACGCUGGCGGCAGGCCUAACACAUGCAAGUCGAGCGGAUGAAGGGAGCUUGCUCCUGGAUUCAGCGGCGGACGGGUGAGUAAUGCCUAGGAAUCUGCCUGGUAGUGGGGGAUAACGUCCGGAAACGGGCGCUAAUACCGCAUACGUCCUGAGGGAGAAAGUGGGGGAUCUUCGGACCUCACGCUAUCAGAUGAGCCUAGGUCGGAUUAGCUAGUUGGUGGGGUAAAGGCCUACCAAGGCGACGAUCCGUAACUGGUCUGAGAGGAUGAUCAGUCGCACUGGAACUGAGACACGGUCCAGACUCCUGCGGGAGGCAGCAGUGGGGAAUAUUGGACAAUGGGCGAAAGCCUGAUCCAGCCAUGCCGCGUGUGUGAAGAAGGUCUUCGGAUUGUAAAGCACUUUAAGUUGGGAGGAAGGGCAGUAAGUUAAUACCUUGCUGUUUUGACGUUACCAACAGAAUAAGCACCGGCUAACUUCGUG